GGGGAGUAGCGUGACGUUCACUUCAACGGAGCACAUGAGACGUACAUGGGAUAUAAUAGGUUACACUAUAUCUACGGUGGUCUGUGUUCGGAUAUGCAGUCUUAAAACGAAGUGGUGUGAUGGAUAUCAUUUCUAGACGCUCCAAAAUCCUCAUGAAGGUUAAAGCCAAAAUCCUUCAGCCCAGCAGCAUCUUCUCAGCGUACGACAGCUGCAGUUGUGUGAUUCGUGACAUCGCAUCCGUAUGAGGAAAAUGACUGGCACACUGUAAAGAGGAACACACAAGUUCUGCUGAUGCAAAUGAACCCGCAUCCUGGGCAUCUGAUUGGACUGUAGUGCAGUCAUUCCAGCAGCCAGAGAGCACAUGGACUGCCUUCAGCCAGGAGACUGUGGAGCAGAAGAUAGUGUCUGGUGGACAGUGGUGGCCUUCUACCGAAAAGCCCAACCUUCCUCUCUCUCCUCUCCAUAAUGUGUCAAAUGUGUUUCUAGAGGCCUUUCCCUCAGAAAAGUCCCCCUGUGAAGAUCCUGAAUACAUUCCUACACUAAAGCAGCUUCUGCAAGGACCAGCUGAAAACAGUGAUACAGGGGAGCACAAGGAGCAGAGCUUACUUGAUGGCCUCCAGGAUCUAAACCGGAUGAUUGGUGUGAAAUAUAAGAGGGCGGAGUCUCUGUCCUGUAAACUUCUCCUUCAGUCACUGCAUUUGCAGCGUCCCAGCUCUGAAUGUGCGACAGUUCGACCGAAGACCAGUGCCAGAUUUUCUCCAAAUCUCCCAACGUCCAACCAGCAAUUAGCUGCAAACGCUAAGAGAAGACUGUCAUAUGACUUCAACAGAAAUAUAAUGGUUUAGUCUCUAUAUCUGCUGAACAUCUUUGACCUGUGCUUCCUUGAAAACAGGAAAUACAGGACAGAGGAAAAAUACAUGCUGGAAAACUGAAUAACUGAGUUUCCAUACAUUCUAUUCGAGGUUUAUUUAAAGUGUAUUUCUUCUUUCAGUGUCUGUUCUCACUCAGUGUCUGGUAGAUUCUGUUUCUCAUUCAGUUGUGUAUCAAGACACACUAGACCUAUGUUUAACCAAAUAUAUGUUUUUCAGUAUUUCAGAAUAUUGGGGUUCAAUUAGGACAAAUAUAAAAAAUGUCAAGUUAAAACCCCCUUUGCCAAAUUGUUCAGUCCAGUUAUUGGAGUCUGGUUAUUGGACCCAUUUUGAUAUAACUGAUAUAUUCAGAUGAAAUGUCAAUAUGCAUUUGUGUAUUACUUUCAAUCAUUGCUAUGGAUUAUAUUUGUUAGAAUAAUAAUAUUUUUCUGGUGUCAUAGCAAACCAGUUAGUGCACAUUCUCACAGGGAUGUAGAUUCAUAUCUGGCCUGUCACGUCCUGAUCCACGUCCCAAACUUUCCUUUCUGCUGACUCAGAAAACUGAAUAAAAAAUAAUAAUGUGAUUUUAGGGGGAUUAGGAUCAACUCUAGCUCCCUGCAAUCUCUCCUUCGCCUGUCUGAAACUGUCAAAGCAAAUUUCCACAAAUUGUAUUUUCAUACACCACCUCACACAGACAUCCAUUUUUUUGUCUUUUUUCCCUGUGCUUGAAGUACUAAAUAUAACACUGUAGUGUACCAUUUUUAACUCCUGACGAAUAGAGACCAUAUUUUCAGAAGUGUUUUAAAAUUAAUGUUGACAUAUGAAAUUGAAC
This is a long non-coding RNA of Cyprinus carpio carpio, 1680 nucleotides long. The record is from Ensembl. Lineage: Eukaryota; Metazoa; Chordata; Actinopteri; Cypriniformes; Cyprinidae.